GGUUUCGUACGUAGCAGAGCAGCUCC
Molecule: non-coding RNA, 26 nt
Filed under: Gallus gallus (chicken)
Lineage: Eukaryota; Metazoa; Chordata; Aves; Galliformes; Phasianidae
Also listed under: 5 other names
Source: RNAcentral